GGACCCUGAUCCAGCCAUGCCGCGUGUGUGAAGAAGGCCUUUUGGUUGUAAAGCACUUUAAGCGAGGAGGAGGCUACUCUAGUUAAUACCUAGAGAUAGUGGACGUUACUCGCAGAAUAAGCACCGGCUAACUCUGUGCCAGCAGCCGCGGUAAUACAGAGGGUGCAAGCGUUAAUCGGAUUUACUGGGCGUAAAGCGCGCGUAGGUGGCCAAUUAAGUCAAAUGUGAAAUCCCCGAGCUUAACUUAGGGAAUUGCAUUCGAUACUGGUUGGCUAGAGUAUGGGAGAGGAUGGUAGAAUUCCAGGUGUAGCGGUGAAAUGCGUAGAGAUCUGGAGGAAUACCGAUGGCGAAGGCAGCCAUCUGGCCUAAUACUGACACUGAGGUGCGAAAGCAUGGGGAGCAAACAGGAUUAGAUACCCUGGUAGUCCAUGCCGUAAACGAUGUCUACUAGCCGUUGGGGCCUUUGAGGCUUUAGUGGCGCAGCUAACGCGAUAAGUAGACCGCCUGGGGAGUACGGUCGCAAGACUA
Molecule: ribosomal RNA, 528 nt
Filed under: bacterium E-2-0-3E
Lineage: Bacteria
Description: bacterial SSU rRNA
Rfam family: Bacterial small subunit ribosomal RNA
Source: RNAcentral